AUGCCCGGUACGUGUAGGCUUGCCAGCAUCAAAGUUUCAAGUGCACAGCUCCUUUUUACCUCUUUUGUGAAAAAAGGCAAAGGCAUUGACAGGGCAGCCAGCCACCACUUCACUGGCCAGGUGGAGCACAGGCUCUUCUCCCCACCUGAGGGACGGACGGACGGACGGACCUGCCUCCAUCAAACGCCUUUCUCUUCUUCCCAAAGCCAAGCUCGAUUGGGCAAAAGGAAAAAACUCAUGCCUGCACAACAUCCAACCCCUCAGCUGCACAUUUUCCCCCGCAGAUGUUUGUUUGUCAUCUUCCUUUUAAGGCCUUAG
Molecule: ribosomal RNA, 318 nt
Filed under: Triticum aestivum (bread wheat)
Lineage: Eukaryota; Viridiplantae; Streptophyta; Magnoliopsida; Poales; Poaceae
Description: partial small subunit ribosomal RNA
Source: RNAcentral